UACGUAGGGGGCUAGCGUUGUCCGGAAUCAUUGGGCGUAAAGAGCGUGUAGGCGGUCCGGUAAGUCCGCUGUGAAAGUCGGGGGCUCAACCCUCGAAUGCCGGUGGAUACUGUCGGGCUAGAGUACGGAAGAGGCGAGUGGAAUUCCUGGUGUAGCGGUGAAAUGCGCAGAUAUCGGGAGGAACACCAAUGGCGAAGGCAGCUCGCUGGGACGUUACUGACGCUGAGACGCGAAAGCGUGGGGAGCGAACAGG
RNAcentral lists this ribosomal RNA (253 nucleotides) under uncultured bacterium. RNAcentral describes it as "partial 16S ribosomal RNA". It matches the Rfam family "Bacterial small subunit ribosomal RNA", at positions 524 to 776 of the family's 1533-position model. The record is from RNAcentral.